AAUCACGCGGGGACUCCAGCCGACAUCCCUUUCCCAGUACCUCCCACAGAUCCACAGGGCUCCACGUGCUCCAAGACAGCUCUCAGCCGCCCAGGCCAACCCAGUGCAAUGAUGAAAGGGCAUCGGUCAGGCCCGACCCCCACCCACAGCACUUCUGAGGAGGGAGUUUUGCAGCCUCGGUCCACUUCCCAGUGAUGAGGGGCAGUUGCGGAGCUGGGCUGGACCCUCCGUCGGAAGAUCAGGGAGAUCUGCUGCCCUGAGCCUGCAGGGGGCACUGUGGUGCCUGGCACGCCCACCCUUGCAGGUGGAGUUGGGGAUACUGGAGGUGAACUGCCAAGAGGCCUGGCCCCAGGUGUGCUUGAAGGGCCACCUCCACCAUCAGGACCUGACACAGUUCAAAACCAGUGACAGUUAUUCAAGCCUGUCUCUUUGAGAGGAGGCCCAGGUCUCCAGAUGGGUGUUUGGGAGUACCCCUCACCCUGGGUUGACCACAUCAAGACACUAGCUUCACCUCCACCCUGGGGGUAGAAGCCCUGGCAUCCAUGGGGAGGGAGAGAGAUAAAGACACAUGCUCAUCUGAGUCCUAGGCCUGGCCCCUUGAGUUCCUCCAUCCCAAGGUCACCUGACUCAGGCCUGUCCUCCCUUCUCCUGGGCUCCAGGUGCCAUGGCUAGAAGCGGCCACCCUUACUUCUGUGCAGAUUCUGUACCCACUGGCUGGAGACCCCCUUGCAGCUGUCUCCUGCCCUUGCUGGGGGAGGCUUGUUAACUCAGGGCUCUGCUCGAAUGUUCCCUCCUGGGGGGAGCCUUUCCUGGGCUCCACGUCAUCCGGUAUCCCUCCAGCAAAGGCUGCCAGGUUGCAAUUUUCUCUUUGUGGCUGGAGUCCUCAUUAGACUGGGAGCCCCUGAGGGCGGAGACCACGUCCUUUUCUUUUACUCUUGGCAGUAUCCUACACAGAGGAGGGACCCAAAACACUUUUAAAAAAUACAAGUAGAUGCAUAAAGUGUGAAGUAUUAUUAGCAUACCAUGAUGGGGGAGGGGUGAAUCAAGAGUCUGCUUGACUCCUCAGAGGGUGCUUGUCCUGUCUAUAAAAAGGCACAUACUAAAUAUUUUAAAGUCAAGCCUCAUUUUGUAAGUCACAUGGGGUCAGAAAGUGGAAUGGAGAUCUGAAUCCAGGUGUACCUGUCUGCCUGCACCCCUAGGCAAACACACAGGCCGGACUUCUUCCUCCUUGGUUGUCUCCACCUU
Equus asinus (donkey) is the source of this 1245-nucleotide long non-coding RNA. The record is from Ensembl. NCBI's taxonomy places the organism in Eukaryota, Metazoa, Chordata, Mammalia, Perissodactyla, Equidae.